This 157-nucleotide ribosomal RNA is filed under the name Sedum spathulifolium. RNAcentral's name for it is "5.8S ribosomal RNA". It matches the Rfam family "5.8S ribosomal RNA". Rfam says of the family: 5.8S ribosomal RNA (5.8S rRNA) is a component of the large subunit of the eukaryotic ribosome. It is transcribed by RNA polymerase I as part of the 45S precursor that also contains 18S and 28S rRNA. Functionally, it is thought that 5.8S rRNA may be involved in ribosome translocation. The record is from RNAcentral. Lineage: Eukaryota; Viridiplantae; Streptophyta; Magnoliopsida; Saxifragales; Crassulaceae.
UCGGCAACGGAUAUCUCGGCUCUCGCAUCGAUGAAGAACGUAGCAAAAUGCGAUACUUGGUGUGAAUUGCAGAAUCCCGUGAAUCAUCGAGUCUUUGAACGCAAGUUGCGCCCGAAGCCUUUAGGCCGAGGGCACGUCUGCCUGGGCGUCAUGCACU